UCGCGCCUACGGGACGCAGCAGUAGGGAAUUUUCGUCAAUGGGCGCAAGCCUGAACGAGCAAUGCCGCGUGAACGAGGAAGGUCUUCGGAUCGUAAAGUUCUGUUGAAGGGGAAAAAGAGCGGAGAGAGGAAAUGAACUCCGAUUGAUAUUACCCUUCGAGGAAGUCACGGCUAACUACGUGCCAGCAGCCGCGGUAAUACGUAGGUGGCGAGCGUUAUCCGGAAUGAUUGGGCGUAAAGGGUGCGUAGGCGGCCUGCUAAGUCUGGAGUGAAAGGUACCGGCUCAACCAGUACAGGCUCUGGAA
This 305-nucleotide ribosomal RNA is filed under the name uncultured bacterium. RNAcentral's name for it is "bacterial SSU rRNA". It matches the Rfam family "Bacterial small subunit ribosomal RNA", at positions 333 to 631 of the family's 1533-position model. The record is from RNAcentral.